RNAcentral lists this ribosomal RNA (774 nucleotides) under uncultured Neocallimastigales. Its description in RNAcentral is "partial large subunit ribosomal RNA". It matches the Rfam family "Eukaryotic large subunit ribosomal RNA", at positions 24 to 647 of the family's 3401-position model. The record is from RNAcentral. Lineage: Eukaryota; Fungi; Neocallimastigomycota; Neocallimastigomycetes; Neocallimastigales.
GUAGUCUCGCACAGAUGCAUAUCAAUAAGCGGAGGAAAAGAAACUAACUAGGAUUCCCUCAGUAACGGCGAGUGAAGCGGGAAGAGCUCAAAUUUGAAAUCUUCAAGGUUCUACCUUGACGAAUUGUAGUUUAAAGAAGUGUUUUCUGUUGGAGUUUUGGUAAAAGUUCUUUGGAAUAGGACAUCAUAGAGGGUGAGAAUCCCGUAUUUGACCAUUAUUUCCAGCUUUGUGAUACACUUUCAAAGAGUCGGAUUGUUUGGGAAUGCAGUCCAAAAUGGGUGGUAAAUUUCAUCUAAAGCUAAAUACUGGCGAGAGACCGAUAGCGAACAAGUACCGUGAGGGAAAGAUGAAAAGAACUUUGAAAAGAGAGUUAAACAGUACGUGAAAUUGUCAAAAGGGAAGCGUUUGACACCAGUGUUGUUUUUCUGAAAAUCAAUUAAAGAACUGUUUAUGCUAAGCUGUUUAGACUUUAUCAGCUAUCUGUUUAGUUUUGAGCUUUUCUUUAAUGCACUUUUCAGUUAACAAGUCAACAUCAAUUUCUUUUGCUGUAAAAAAGCUUGAGGAAGGUGGCUUGAGAUUCGUCUUAAGUGUUUAUAGCCUCUUGCCUAUGCAGUCGGAGAGAUUGAGGUCUGCAGCGUAGAUCCUUCGGGGCUAAAUGCAUUUGUGCUAAGUUAUAACAUUUUAUAGACAACUUGUUGACUAUGAUUUGUCUUGUAGCUUACUCGCUUAUGUUAUUUUACCUACGCUUAGGAUGUUGAUCUGUAGUGCGUGCGC